GACGAAGGGGGCUAGCGUUGUUCGGAUUUACUGGGCGUAAAGGGCGCGUAGGCGGCCAGCGCAAGUCAGUUGUGAAAUCUCCGGGCUUAACUCGGAAAGGUCAACUGAUACUGCGCGGCUAGAGUGCAGAAGGGGCAACUGGAAUUCUCGGUGUAGCGGUGAAAUGCGUAGAUAUCGAGAGGAACACCUGCGGCGAAGGCGGGUUGCUGGGCUGACACUGACGCUGAUGCGCGAAAGCCAGGGGAGCGAACGGG
This 254-nucleotide ribosomal RNA is filed under the name uncultured bacterium. RNAcentral's name for it is "partial 16S ribosomal RNA". It matches the Rfam family "Bacterial small subunit ribosomal RNA", at positions 524 to 776 of the family's 1533-position model. The record is from RNAcentral.